This 1552-nucleotide ribosomal RNA is filed under the name marine sediment metagenome. RNAcentral's name for it is "bacterial SSU rRNA". It matches the Rfam family "Bacterial small subunit ribosomal RNA". The record is from RNAcentral.
CGAGUUUGAUCCUGGCUCAGGACGAACGCUAGCGGUGUGCCUAAUACAUGCAAGUCGAACGGUUCUUUUUAUGAUGAAGCUUCGGUAGAUUCAAAAAAAGAAUAGUGGCGAACGGGUGAGUAACGCGUGGAUAAUCUGCCCUAAAGACAGGGAUAAGCUUCCGAAAGGGGGUUUAAUACCUGAUAAAAAAAUCAAAUUGCAUGAUUUGAUUUUCAAAGGUAGCUUUUUAAGCUUCUGUUUUAGGAUGAGUCCGCGUCCUAUCAGCUAGUUGGUGAGGUAAAUGCUCACCAAGGCGACGACGGGUAGCCGGUCUGAGAGGAUGUUCGGCCACACUGGGACUGAGAACGGCCCAGACUCCUACGGGAGGCAGCAGUAGGGAAUAUUGCGCAAUGGGCGAAAGCCUGACGCAGCGACACCGCGUGGAGGAUGAAGGUUUUCGGAUCGUAAACUCCUGUCAAUAGAGGAGGAAGGCAUAUAAGGUGAAUAGCCUUUUAUGUUGACAGUACUCUGUAAGGAAGCCCCGGCCAACUACGUGCCAGCAGCCGCGGUAAGACGUAGGGGGCGAGCGUUGUCCGGAAUCAUUGGGCGUAAAGCGCACGCAGGCGGCUUUCCAAGUCAAAUGUGAAAUCUCCUGGUAAAACUAGGAAAUUGCAUUCGAUACUGGAUCGCUUGAGUUCGGGAGAGGAGAGUGGAAUUCCCGGUGUAGCGGUGAAAUGCGCAGAUAUCGGGAGGAACACCAUUAGCGAAGGCGGCUCUCUGGAACGAUACUGACGCUAAGGUGCGAAAGCUAGGGGAGCAAACAGGAUUAGAUACCCUGGUAGUCCUAGCUGUAAACGUUGGGCACUAGAUGUAGGGAGAUAUUGACUCUCCCUGUAUCGUAGCUAACGCGUUAAGUGCCUCGCCUGGGGAGUACGACCGCAAGGUUAAAACUCAAAGGAAUUGACGGGGACCCGCACAAGCGGUGGAGCAUGUGGCUUAAUUCGAUGCAACACGAAGAACCUUACCAGGGCUUGACAUUUUGGUAGUAGCAAAUCGAAAGAUGAGCGACCCUUCGGGGAGCCAGAACAGGUGGUGCAUGGCUGUCGUCAGCUCGUGUCGUGAGAUGUUGGGUUAAGUCCCACAACGAGCGCAACCCUUGUCCCAUGUUGCUAACAUUUAGUUGAGGACUCUUGGGAGACUGCCGGUGUUAAACCGGAGGAAGGUGGGGAUGACGUCAAGUCAGCAUGUCCUUUAUGUCCUGGGCUGCACACGUGCUACAAUGGCCUGUACAAAGAGAAGCGAUACUGUGAAGUGGAGCAAAUCUCAAAAAACAGGUCUAAGUUCGGAUUGAAGUCUGCAAUUCGACUUCAUGAAGUUGGAAUCGCUAGUAAUCGCAGGUCAGCUAUACUGUGGUGAAUACGUUCCCGGGUCUUGUACACACCGCCUGUCACACCACGAAAGUCGGGAACACUUUAAGACGGUAUGUUAACUCGUAAGAGAGGCAGCUGUCCAAGGUGGGCUUGGUGAUUGGGGUGAAGUCAUAACAAGGUAGCCGUACCGGAAGGUGCGGCUG